Molecule: transfer RNA, 75 nt
Filed under: Cronartium comandrae C4
Lineage: Eukaryota; Fungi; Basidiomycota; Pucciniomycetes; Pucciniales; Coleosporiaceae
Description: tRNA-Sup (TTA) (tRNA-Sup-TTA-1-1)
Source: RNAcentral
UGCCACAUCCUCAGUUGGAAGACCAUGAGACUUUAAAUCUCAGGGUCAUUGGUUCAAUCCCAAUGUUGGUGGCAA